RNAcentral lists this ribosomal RNA (305 nucleotides) under uncultured bacterium. Its description in RNAcentral is "bacterial SSU rRNA". It matches the Rfam family "Bacterial small subunit ribosomal RNA", at positions 337 to 634 of the family's 1533-position model. The record is from RNAcentral.
GCCUACGGGGGGCAGCAGUAGGGAAUCUUCCACAAUGGGCGAAAGCCUGAUGGAGCAACGCCGCGUGGGUGAAGAAGGUCUUCGGAUCGUAAAACCCUGUUGUUAGAGAAGAAAGUGCGUGAGAGUAACUGUUCACGCUUCGACGGUAUCUAACCAGAAAGCCACGGCUAACUACGUGCCAGCAGCCGCGGCAAUACGUAGGUGGCAAGCGUUAUCCGGAUUUAUUGGGCGUAAAGGGAACGCAGGCGGUCUUUUAAGGCUGAUGUGAAAGCCUUCGGCUUAACCGGAGUAGUGCAUUGGAAGCU